Long non-coding RNA from Lemur catta (Ring-tailed lemur), 290 nucleotides. RefSeq lists it as uncharacterized. The transcript is spliced from 3 exons. The record is from RefSeq and is a predicted model, not a curated record. NCBI's taxonomy places the organism in Eukaryota, Metazoa, Chordata, Mammalia, Primates, Lemuridae.
GGGGUCGGAACUCUUCUGCUGGAUCUUCAACAUGUGUUGCACCAGGCGGAUGGAGCGAUUAUAGGAUUUGUCCAGUUCGCUGAUGAUGAACAGCAGAUCCGAGCUGAGGGCUGGCACGGCUGCAUACUGCCACAGCAGAACUGGCAGAUUCUUGGUAAUGCCUGCACCAUCAGACACUAUCUUGGACUUCUUUGGGGGAGCUCUUUCAGACCUUGAAGUUGCUCUCCAGGGAGAGAUUGAACCAGUUUAAACUCUGCACUUGGGUCCAUUGAAGCAGGGGAACCGUACUG